GUCCUUGCGCCGCAUCCAACAGAUCUGCAGUGGUUUUUCAGAUGCAGCAGUAACGGAUGGGGGAAAAACAAAAAGCUUGGCAGGAAAGACCCAGCAGCAUCCUGAUGGGGGAAGGAGCGCAAUGUUAAGACGCAGCAGCAUCCGAAGUG
This is a long non-coding RNA of Melanotaenia boesemani (Boeseman's rainbowfish), 149 nucleotides long. RefSeq lists it as uncharacterized. Lineage: Eukaryota; Metazoa; Chordata; Actinopteri; Atheriniformes; Melanotaeniidae. The record is from RefSeq and is a predicted model, not a curated record. The transcript has 4 exons.